UGGAGAGUUAACAGCCACUGGGAAUA
This 26-nucleotide non-coding RNA is filed under the name Mus musculus (house mouse). Lineage: Eukaryota; Metazoa; Chordata; Mammalia; Rodentia; Muridae. The record is from RNAcentral.